CUAAAACACCGAUAAGGGUAUACGGUGGAUGCCUUGGCACAAAAAGCCGAUGAAGGACGCAGGAGCCGGCGAAACGCCUCGGGGAGCUGGCAAACAAGCUUUGAUCCGGGGAUGUCCGAAUGGGGAAACCCUGUCUCGACAAAUCGAGAUAGCUCUCGUACGUGGUGUGCGAGUUGCGGGAACCAUGCGAAGUGAAACAUCUCAGUAGCAUGAGGAAAAGAGAACAAGGGUAACUUUUUAGCUUUAUAGUUUCUUUAGCUUUUUAGGAAGUCUAUUUCUAGAUUUCCAGAUUUCCUAAGAAGCUAUUUUACAAAGCUAAUCAGUUAUCAUAUUCCCCUAGUAGUGGCGAGCGAACGGGGAAAAGUCUAAACUUCAUUCAUGUUGGGAGUAGAGUUCCGAUUUAUCGGAACUAUGCUUCCUUAAAGAUUACAGUCGUUGUGAGUGUUGUGUUGAAAGACCAGUCAGUCCGCCUCUGUAAAGGCGGAGGAAAUUCGUUUUGAGCUGCCUAGUAGAACACGCCUGGAAAGGCGGACCAAAGAGGGUGAUAGUCCCGUACGCGAAAGGUCUCAAAUGUUCCAGAUUGGUUCUUGAGUACUACGAGACACGUGCAAGCUCGUAGGAAACCAGGUCGUCUACGAUCUAAGACUAAAUACUUUUUGUGACCGAUAGUGAACUAGUACCGUGAGGGAAAGGUGAAAAGUAGCCCGGUGAGGGCGAUGAAAUAGAACCUGAAACCGUAUAUCUACAACGAGUGGAAGUCCUGACCUCGAUUUUUUCGGGGUGGACGACCGCGUGCCUAUUGAAGAAUGACCCGACGAGUUAUCUUGCAUCUUUUGUCUAAGCCCCCAAAAAGGGCGGAGGCAUAGGGAAACCGAGUGUUAAAAGCGCGAUCCAUAGAAGGUGCAGGAUAGACCCGAAACCCGGUGAGCUACUCAUGGCCAGGAUGAACCCGCAGUAACAUGCGGGGGAGGUCCGAACCCACUAUUGUUGCAAAAAUAGGGGAUGAGCUGUGAGUAGGGGAGAAAUUCCAAUCGAACUGGGUGAUAGCUGGUACUCCUCGAAAUAGCUUUAGGGCUAGCCUUUCGCGUACGUUUUGGGGGUAGAGCACUGGAUUCGUUACUGCGGAGCAAUCCGUAGUGCGGAACCAAACUCCGAAUACCAAAACAAUUGCGAGGGAGUCAGACCGUGAGGUCUAAGCUUCAUGUGUCUAAAGGGGAAGAACCCAGAUCGUCAUUUAAGGUCCCUAAAUCCAAGCUAUAGUGUAAAGGAUGUUUUUGUCCCCAGACAGGUAGGAGGUUGGCUUAGAGGUAGCCAUCCUUUAAAAAGUGUGUAACAACUUACUACUCGAUCUCCCGACCUCGUGUCGGGACGGGACAGGGGCGCCGACAAUGUAACGGGACUAAGCUUGGUACCGAAAAUACGAAUUCUCCGACUUUAUUGUCGGAGUCUGGUAGAGGAGCAUUGUUGGCUGCAGUGAAGCGGUAUGCGCGAGCGGCCGUGGAGCGCCAACAAGAGAGAAUGUUGGGAUAAGUAGUUUUUAUGCAGGUGAGAAUCCUGCACGCCGAAAAUCCAAGGUUUCCUGGGCAAUGAUUAUCAGCCCAGGGUUAGCCGGGCCUAAGCGUGGUGCCGACCGGUGCCUCGCGAUGGAAAAGACGGUUGAUAUUCCGUCGCUACCGCCUAAAUUAUCAAGAAGUAACGCAUCAUGGUAGGAUGAGCAGGAUCUGACUAUUUCUGUUUUCGAAUUUGUAGAGUGAUUUUCCAGGCAAAUCCGGAAAAUCUGUUCUGACGCAAGUUGGAGCGAACUCGAGAGUUUGAGAAAAUCCCGCAAGGGAGAUUUGUCUGACCCAAGGUGCCCAGAAAAACUUCGUGGUUUCAUGUUAGGUGGUAUCCGUACCGCAAACCGACUCUGGUGGAUGAGGAGAGUAUCCUCAGGCGAACGGGCCAAUACUCGUUCAGGAACUCGGCAAAAAAGCGGCCGUACCUUCGGUAUAAGGCCUGCCCCGACGCAAGUCGGGGUCGAAGCGAAUGACCCCUCCCGACUGUUUAACAAAAACACAGGUCCGUGCUAAAGCUAAAAGCUGAUGUAUACGGGCUGAUGCCUGGCCAGUGUCAGAAGGUUAAACCCGCUAGCGCAAGCUGGUGGGCCAAGCCCUGAUGAACGCCGGCGGUAACUAUGAAAAUGACGUCGUAGUUAUAAAAUUUGGCUAUUUGCGGGAACAUCUGGUUAAGCUCAAAGUACUAGCUCGAAUGGGCAGUAAAAAUCUUUGGGAUACAGACAAUCCGCAGGAAAGACUCGCAAAAAUCCUCAAGGAGUAAAAUUCUAUGAGUGAUUCAUGGCUAAAAGCCAUAUCUCCCGAAAUUGGUUAUUAUUUAGCUGGUUUCGCGGAUGGUGAAGGGAGCUUCAAUGUCUCUCUUCGCAAAAGAGAUGACCAUAAAAUGCGGUGGCAAGUCGCUCCCUGUUUCAAUGUCUCACAAAGAGAUCCGACCAUUCUGGCUUUAUUCAAAAAGCAUAUGGGAUGUGGAAGAUUUGUGACUCGCAGGGAUGGAGUGCAUUAUUAUGUGGUGCAAAAUCCGACCGCAAUCACUGAAAGGGUUAUCCCUUUCUUCCAAAGGUUUAGGUUUCUAUCCUCUAAAAUGAAAAGAAACUUCAUGCUGUUUCAGCAGAUUAUCGAAUUGAUGAAUGAUAAAGGUCAUCUCAAUUCCGAUGGCUUGCUGAAAAUAAUCCAGAUCAGAGAGCUACUGAACUAUGGAAAAGCCCGAAAGAGAAAGUACAGCAUUAAUGAUUAUCAAGGAUUUUUAAGCGAGAAUCCUCAGAGACUAAACGCCAAACCUGUCGAUAAGACAGGAUGAUAUAGUCCGAUCUCAUGGGAGACCAUGAGCUAACAUCAAUGAACCGUCCUAUGGUAGAGGAAUUUACUUCAGAAAUGAAGGUUUUGCUGCCAUAGUAAAAUGUAGCUAUAUCGGAAAAACUCUCGACAAUGAGACAAUUCCGAGGGAAGACUUAUUACGUAUUUAAUUACGUAAUUCGAACCCGUAGAGACUAAUACGCUACACUCCGACUUCGGUCAGAGAAGAUAGAGUCCGAUCUGUAUGGCGACAUGCAGAGGUUAACAGAAAUGAUUAACCCCUCAAUGUAAAUUGAGAGUAACAAGCGAAGAGCGAAAUUCCUUGUCGUGUAAGUUACGACCUGCACGAAUGGCAUAACGAGUGGGGGACUGUCUUAACGAGUAGCCCGACGAAUUUGCAUUAUCGGUAAAGAUGCCGUUUACCCGCAGCAAGACGGAAAGACCCUAUGAAGCUUUACUAUAGCGUGUUAUUGGGUCAAGAUUUAUCUUGUUUAGAAUAGGUGGGAGACUUUGAAGUCCUGGCGCUAGCUGGGAUGGAGUCAUUAGUGAAAUACCACCCUAGGUGAAUUUUGAUUCUAACUUCGAUGUAACCUAUCGAAGGACAGUGGCUCGUGGGUAGUUUAACUGGGGCGGUUGCCUCCUAAAAGGUAACGGAGGCGUUUAAAGGUCAGCUAGGCGCGGAUGGAAAUCGCGCCGGUCGUGCAAACGCAUAAGCUGGCUUCACUGCAAGGCAAGCACGCCGCGCAGGCACGAAAGUGGAAGUUAGUGAUCCGACCAUCCAUAGUGGUAUGGUGGAAGCUCAACGGAUAAAAGCUACUCUAGGGAUAACAGGCUGAUCCUGCCCAAGCGUCCACAGCGACGGCAGGGUUUGGCACCUUAACUUAAAUCGGGGUGCUGGAGCAGUGAUGCUCUACCAAAUAUUCGGCUUAUAACGGUGAACCCGUAAUUAAAUUCCGUGGUAUAAUUUAGUUAGAAUUUAAUCGGCAAUACCGUGGGAAGUCUAAGUCAAGCUCAACAAUCUAUUCUAAUUGGAAGUCUCUUAGGAGACGGAGCCUUACGAUUAGCCAAAGGGAAAUUAAAUGCUCUAUUUGAAGUUAACCACACUGUCAAACAGAAGCUUUAUGUGGAUUGGAAGUACGAGAAUCUAAAGUCUUUCGUACUGACUGGUCCUAAAGCUCGGAAAGGAAACGGUAUGCGAAUAGCUUAUCGUUUCACGACGCAAAGUUUGCCAGUAUUUACUUCUCUACAUGAGCGUUUCUACCAGAAUAAUCACAAAAUUAUUCCAGCAGAUCUAAAAUUGGACCCUUUAGCUUUAGCAGUAUGGUUCAUGGACGAUGGAAGUAAAAGUCGCAGUUCAGUAUAUCUGAAUACUCAACAGUUUUCUCUUGAGGAUCAGAAAAAAUUAUUGAAUGCGCUCAAAAAGGGGUUCAAUCUCGAAGGGAGACUGAACAAAGACAAACAUUAUUUCCGAAUUAGAAUCACUACCAAAAGUACAAGACUGUUCAAAAGUAUUAUUAAGUCAUUUGUACUUCCUAUGUUUAGCUACAAGCUUGAUGAUGACCCCGUAACGACUGACUCGAAAGAGGAGAUUCGUUCACAAGGAACGAAUAAUACGCCGACGCUUGUCAAAAAAGUAGACUAAGGUUAUAAGAACCUAAUGUCACUGACAAGAUGAAGAUAUAGUCUACUCCAUAUGUAAGUAUGGAACAUCGUACGAUGUCGGCUCGUCGCAUCCUGGGGGUGAAGAAGCUCCCAAGGGUUUGGCUGUUCGCCAAUUAAAGCGGCACGCGAGCUGGGUUCAAAACGUCGUAAAUUUUUUGCGACCUUGAUGAGUAAUCAUCAAGAAAUAUUCGGCUAAUAACGGUGGAAUCCUUUAAUAUCUCCAAACGUAUUAAAGGGCUAUACCGUGGGAAGUCGCCUCACAGGCGACCCCGUAACGACUGACCCGAAAAGGGAAGACUUUGCAAAAUAUGCAAGGUAAUACGCCGACUCCUAUCAUUUGGAAAAAAGAUUAUGGUUUAAUAUUUAAACCUAAAAUCAAUCGAUAGGAUGAAGAUAUAGUCUGUACCAUUAGUAAUAAUGGAGUAAUACGGAGACAGUUUGGUCCUUAUCUGCUGUGGGCGUUCGAUACUUGAGAGGGCUCUCCGAUAGUACGAGAGGACCUCGGAGAAUAGGGCUCUGGUGUACCGGUUGUCCUGUCCAGGGCAUCGCCGGGUAGCUAAUCCCUAGUUUGGAUAAGCGCUGAAGGCAUAUAAGCGCGAAGCCGUCCUCAAGAUUAAGUGUCGUUUUCCCGACGCAAGUCGGGAAGGUAGGCUCGGGGGAGACGACCCCGCAUAUAGGCCACAGGUGUACGAUUCGUAAGAAUUUUAGCCGAGUGGUACUAAUCAGCCGAAAGUGUUUUAGAA
RNAcentral lists this ribosomal RNA (5251 nucleotides) under bacterium. RNAcentral describes it as "23S ribosomal RNA". The stretch from base 2 to 3761 matches the Rfam family "Bacterial large subunit ribosomal RNA". The record is from RNAcentral.